This 253-nucleotide ribosomal RNA is filed under the name uncultured bacterium. RNAcentral's name for it is "partial 16S ribosomal RNA". It matches the Rfam family "Bacterial small subunit ribosomal RNA", at positions 524 to 776 of the family's 1533-position model. The record is from RNAcentral.
UACGCAGGGUGCAAACGUUGCUCGGAAUUAUUGGGCGUAAAGCGCACGUAGGCGGCUUUGCAAGUCCCAUGUGAAAUCCCACGGCUCAACCGUGGAAGUGCAUGGGAAACUGCAGAGCUUGAGUACUUAAGAGGAUCGCGGAAUUCCCGGUGUAGAGGUGAAAUUCGUAGAUAUCGGGAGGAACACCAGUGGCGAAGGCGGCGAUCUGGGAAGAUACUGACGCUGAGGUGCGAAAGCGUGGGGAGCAAACAGG